Long non-coding RNA from Medicago truncatula (barrel medic), 523 nucleotides. RefSeq lists it as uncharacterized. The record is from RefSeq and is a predicted model, not a curated record. The transcript is spliced from 2 exons. Lineage: Eukaryota; Viridiplantae; Streptophyta; Magnoliopsida; Fabales; Fabaceae.
CAAAUUUAAAAAUUACAUUUUUGGUACAUUUCCUCCUCAAAUUCGUUCUAUUUCUCCUAACUUUCCCUCCAUUAUCCUCUAUCACCUCAAUCCAUUACCUCUGCAGUUACAUAUCUGUCUAAGUCUUAUUUUGUCGCUACAACUUUGCUUCAAUAGCGAAUUCUCAGGUAAAGAUAUUGGAAGAAAUAUCAAAGUAACUGACCUUGUUGGAUGAAAAUUUCUUGAGGAGCAUUGGAGUAGGAUGGUCUGCGGAGAGAAUUGCGUUGAAGGGUACAACGAGAGAGGGCCACACCUGCACAUCUGAAUUGCCUGUUGUUUGGAUUCCAAGUCUCAAUAAUGCCACCUUCUGACUCUAUACGGUUAUCAGGUUCAAGGGCAUUCAGCUGCUCUAGCUGGCAUUCAUUUUGUUGAGGCUGCUGCUUUUGAUGAGGCUGAUGCUCUCUGAUAGCAAAACAGCUACUUAAAAGUAGAAAAAGAGAGAGUGCAAGAAGCUUAGCCAUGAUUGGAUAGAAUGAAUAUAUGC